Non-coding RNA from Punica granatum (pomegranate), 1080 nucleotides. The record is from RefSeq and is a predicted model, not a curated record. Lineage: Eukaryota; Viridiplantae; Streptophyta; Magnoliopsida; Myrtales; Lythraceae.
AUACGCUUAAGUGUGGAUCUUGUGAAAGCAGCCCAGCAGCAACUCCAAUUUCUUGCUGCCGUCGACAAUAUCCGUUACCUGUACGAUGGUCCUGCUUUGCAUUGAGCCAUACACAGGUAUGAGCAUUAUUGGCUUCCAUUGCUAGCGAAACAUAAGGAGUCUCCCGCCAUGAUAGAGCCCCAAGUCGUGCCUCUCCAUUGUUAAUGGAUAUGGAUUUUGCCAUCGCCUCAAUCCCGUCAAUAUAAGAGUGAUUGCAAGGAACUUUAUGGGCGAAUUCUCGACAACCUAAAUGUCCAGUAAACCAUAAGGAACAUGCACAAGACAGACCAAGAGGCUUUGGAAUCCUGUGUAUCCCAAAGAGCCAUAUCAUUUCGAACAAAGCUAUCACUCUUUGAUAAGCACCAACUGUUCGAAUAUGGGUCCUCAGAUAAACAUUAAGUAUGAUCUAGUUGCAGCUGUCAAGAGGCAAAGUUUGUUUUUCCAUAAGGUGCCAAAGUCGAUAAUGACUGAUGAUCACUACCUCGGGUAAGCUGCGGUUAGAUACAAGGCGUUUCUGCACCUUGUUAAGAUAAACGUGGAGCGAUCUACCAGGUUCUUCUGUGUUCCUACUAAUGACAUUGACAUAAUUUGGCAUUCCCACCAGCUCAAUCCCCAUUCAUAUUCUAAAGAUGUUUAUGAGGAUCCAGCAGACAAUAAGCAUGAGUUUGGAUUCGCACAAACAGCUAAGCUCUGGGAGGAUACCUGCAGUCGGAAGUACUUGAUAGUUGGGGCAACGUUUAAAGGUGAUUGCCAAUCAAAGUGUUACUGCCUUGUCGGUUUUGAAACAUGUGGUAAGGGAUAUGUGGAAGGAGCCACUUCAUGUGCUUAUUGAUUUGACUGCGGGAUCUGUUUCAUAGAACGUGUGGCUCGGGAUGUGAUGGUGCCCUCAUAGGUGCUUUAGAAUGUUCGAGCAUGUAUCACAUGUGCAUUGGUUGUCUUGAUGGAUAAUUAAGCGGCCAGACUGAUGAUAUGUUUUCUAUAGAAUGUAGAAGUUUGGUCAAUUAUUGACCUAACAUAUAUUAAACCUGAUAAAUACAUAAA